Molecule: transfer RNA, 78 nt
Filed under: Bacteroidetes bacterium HGW-Bacteroidetes-19
Lineage: Bacteria; Pseudomonadati; Bacteroidota
Also listed under: 1 other name
Description: tRNA-Glu
Rfam family: tRNA
About the family: Transfer RNA (tRNA) molecules are approximately 80 nucleotides in length. Their secondary structure includes four short double-helical elements and three loops (D, anti-codon, and T loops). Further hydrogen bonds mediate the characteristic L-shaped molecular structure. tRNAs have two regions of fundamental functional importance: the anti-codon, which is responsible for specific mRNA codon recognition, and the 3' end, to which the tRNAs corresponding amino acid is attached (by aminoacyl-tRNA synthetases). tRNAs cope with the degeneracy of the genetic code in two manners: having more than one tRNA (with a specific anti-codon) for a particular amino acid; and 'wobble' base-pairing, i.e. permitting non-standard base-pairing at the 3rd anti-codon position.
Source: RNAcentral
GCCGCGUUCGUCUAGCUGGCCCAGGACAUCAGGUUUUCAUCCUGAAGAUCAGGGGUUCGAAUCCCCUACGCGGUACAA